Molecule: long non-coding RNA, 2526 nt
Organism: Gallus gallus (chicken)
Lineage: Eukaryota; Metazoa; Chordata; Aves; Galliformes; Phasianidae
Exons: 4
Source: RefSeq, a predicted model, not a curated record
GGCCCGCGCCCUUCCCCCGGGCUCUGUGGUGGCUCUGCGGCCUGGGCUGCCCCAGCGCUGAGCGAGGCGGUGCUGCACUGCACUGCUCCUCGGAGCUGGGCUGGGGGUGGCCGGGACUGGGAGCUGCCCCCGUGGCCUCACCGUGUCCUGUGGGGCUCUGCUGUGAGAAGGGCUUCUGGCAGUGGGUUCUGCCUGUUGGUAGAGCAGCUGGGGCUCUGCAGAACGGCGGGGUGCUCAGAUGGAGUGGCUGUGGUGGUGGUGUUUUUUCAUAGGCCAGGCAGCCUAAACAGAGGGUAUGGGUACUCACAGUGCUCAGAGCCAUCGCUGUGCCCUGGUGCUGUGCUGUCUGUCCUGUAAGCAGUGUGCUGUAGCUGCUCUGGCAGUUUCCUUGCUGCCCUCUGGCAGCACUGCCCGGCUCCCACCCGGCUGACACACAAAGAUGGUGUGUAUGCAGUGCUGAUGGGGAGGAUCAGCCCAUGCCCUGUGCAGUGGGCAGAGGAAUGUGACAGAGCCACCAGUCCUUGGCACUGGGGUUAUCCACCGUGGCACCAUAGCCCUGCAGUGCUGCCACCUGUUACCACACUUGAGCUAAGGAGGCUGUCCCAGCUGGUGCUCCUGAGGCUGCCCAGGGUACAGUCCAAGCCUUGCAUUUGCUCUAUAGGUUGAAUUUGGGGCUGCAAAAUAAACCACUGUGUUGAGUUCUUUGGCUGCACGCCUGUGACCUUUUCAUCCCGUGUAGCUGCUGUAUUUCCCAUGUGUUUGCAGCACUCUUCGCAGUCUCCUCCCUGAUCUGUGUCCCUGUGUGCCAGAAGCAUCGCUCAGUGAGACUUAAACAAGAAAUACCUUGUGCUACACUGCCACCUGUGCACCCUUGUUUGACUGAUGCUUGAUCCUGUCUGCUGGGAAGGCUGGCUGAAUGGAGGCAGACCCAUCUCCUCUUUCUCUCCUCUGGAACGUGCUUUCAGUCUGCUGCUGCAGUGCAGAUUUGCAGCUGGGUUCUGCUCAGGGUGUGUGGCUGCUCGGCCUCACUGCUGCUUUCCUGCACUGGAUGCGUGCACCUCCAGGAGUGUUGGUUCUUCUGCAUCUCAGGGAAGGAGACUCAUCCUCAUCUGCGCCCUUUUCAGCUGUGAAGGAAGUGUUGGUGCAGGGUCUCCAGGAGGGCCAUAGGUCCUAUGGGCCAACCUGGGCUCAUCCACGCAGAGCUCCUCCUGGCGCAGUGUGUCUGCCAUAUCCCAGGAUAGAGGAUCCCUGCUGGCUGAGUGCUGCCCUGCGGUGUGGACAGAGGGAGAAGAGGACCCUGAGCUGGGCUCGAUGCCAACAGAGACAUUUGGUGUGGGCAGCGGGAUGGUUCCCAGCGCCCAUCCACCUCAUGGCCAUGCACAGGGCAGAGCACAGGGCACUGCUCAGCGCCCUCCGUGAGUCCCUCUGCAGACUAAACAGCUGUUUCUGAUGAAAAACAUCCCCCUGAAAAGCCAACGAGCAAAACCACGGCCUCCCUUAAUGAUAUUUGCUUUGUGGUUUGGGUUUGGAAUAUCUUCCCUACAACUGAAGAGCAAAACCCUCUCUCGACUGGAAGCGCUUUUGAUUUCCUCCCUUCCCAAGGCUCCUCGGGGACAUUGGCAGCACCGUGGUUUGUCACCGUGGACUCUCCCCUUGUUGGGACCCCAUGGGAUCAUUGACUGGAGGAUGAAGGGGUUUCUCCAUGCGAUGAGCUGCAGCCACUGUGCUCCCUCCGUGGACCAUUCCAACUCCUUCCAACGCGGUUGUAUUUUAUCCGUGGAGCUCUGUAAGGAUUUUGUUCCGUCAUCCUGGAAUUUUUAUGACUCCUUUGUGUGUAUAUAAUGCGAUUGCCCUGGAACAGAGAGAAAUUAAUCAUUGUUCCUUUGUUAGUUUUCAGGAAUUUUUAAUGCCUAUGUUUUUGUUCAUCUGUCAUGUCCGAAUGUGGGGUCCGUGGGCUAUUUGACAUUGAAAAUGACUUAAUUGCUUAGGUUUCCCCCCGUGGUGUUUACGGACACUUGUUCGUGGUGGAUUUGGAGCGUGACAUUCCGUACCAUGUACUUUCUGUCUGCUGCCAAUUUUUCACCCCAUUCCGGUGGUUCCUCUCCAGGAAUCCAAUGGGUACGGCUGCGAGUGGGAGCGUGGGGCAGUGCUGACCUCAGGUGGGAAGCCGGAGCUUCUCGGGGUGAUGUAGAGAUGGGAAGAUGUCCAAGACUUCAUUGCAGCUGGGGCUGCAGCUGAUGGCGUUGGGUUUGCACUGGGCUCUGUUGCACGGUGUCAUCCCUCUUUGAGGAAUUGUUGGUUGAGAUCCCCUGGGAAGCCGGCCUUAGGGACAAAGGAAUGGAACGGAGCUGCAUGGAACUCCUUAGGGACGCCUGUCUGAGAGCACAGGAGCUCUCCAAAAAGUGGGUGUCCCAUCCUUGGAGGUGCCCAAGGCCAUGGAUGGGCCCUGCGCAGCCUGAGCUGGUGUGGGGCAGCCAGCCCAUGGCACGGGGUUGGAACUGGGUGGGCUUUGAGGUCUUUUCCAAC